GCGCAGCAUUUGCUCAAUUCGAUGGCUACAAACAGAUUGCGAUGCAUUUCUAAUGACCCAGCAGCCAUUUAGAAACAACAAAUCCUUUAAAAAAAGGUUAUUUCUUAAUAAAAUAAUGUAUUCUGGCAGUUUAAAAUCGGCCACAUCUUGAAAAAGAAGACAGGGAUAUGCAUUUAGGUUUUACACCUUUUUCUGAAAAAAUUAUACGGUUAACUAUGACCAGAAAACGUUUAACGUUUGAAGGCUACACUCCAGCCAUCUCUAGCCACUGUAGGUCACCACAACGUGAGCGCUCACCAAGUAGCCGUAACCUUGUUAAUGCUGAGUUAGUUACCUGAGUGGCCUGGCUGCUUUGGGCUGGGCUGUGAGGUGGUCUCUGGGUGCUGGUCUAGGCAGAGAGGCAGAGCCUGCAGUGGUGGAGUGGCUGUGGGUGUUGAGGUGGUGCCCGUGCCUGUCCAUGCCCGGGGUCCGGAGUAGAUAGCAGCUAAAAUGUUUUGCUCUGCCCUCCCAACAGACGCUGGUUGGAGGGAGCUUCAGCAAUGGACUCAGGAACAGCAAGCGUUUAAUGCCACAGCGGUGGUCCGUCACAUGAGGCGUCUCUAGCUGGGACCAUGUCAGGAGGUGCCGAGCCAGACCACCCUGCUCAGCCACUGCAGAAGUGGCUCCCAGCCAGACCACCCUGCCUAGCCCCUGUAGAAGCCAUCUGCUGCUGCCUGAGGGGGAACACACAGAGUCUCCCGUUGAGGGUGGCUACUCCCAGAGUGCGAACCAGCGGGGCAGAACGAGACUCCCUGGCCAACUGUACCUACCGCUGCCAUCCAACCAGCUGCAUCUGAUCCCCCGGCCACCUGUAGUGUGGCCAACCAAUGACUUUCCCACUUUCCAGUCUGGCCCCGAACACAGAGUUGUUGUUCCAGCGCCCCUUCACCAGAUGGGGCAGGGAUGUUAAGAACCCAGGGUGGGGAGGAGGGAAGAGGGGAUUCUAUGAUGCCAUUGCCAACAGAGGAGGUCACUUGACCUAGAUUGGGGUGAGAGUGGAGGAUGAACUGAGAGAGGAGAAGAGAAGGAGGCAAGCUUAAGGAGAGGUGUUGUACCCAGUGUAUUCCUGGGUGUUAUUAGUUUGGGAGUGGGACAGAGCUUGGACAGUGUUUUUACUCAUGCUUUUUAAAAGUGUAUGUCUGCUUUUUUUCAUCUCUGUAUUUCUGUACAUGCUGUUUUUUUCAUUGUCGUUAUCCUUCCCCCUUGACAACGUAUAGAGGAUUGAUCCACUGAUGCUACUUGCAUGAUCAGAGAACAGGCAGACAGGUCCCAAUGCAUGUUGACUGACAACAGGUGUUUUUAUAACAUAAGGAGUCUACUGCAGAACUAUGUGUAUGCGGUACCACCCAUUGUGGAAUAGUUUCUGUACAGCAGAUAUUGUAGCUAAUAGCUCACAAGAGAUGGACUUACAUGCAAAGCCAUUCCUCAAAAAACUAAGAAUAGGUGUCUGUUAACCUACAGAGGUCUCGGUUAACCCACAGUUUUACUCCCUGAUGUUUAAACCACAUUCUAACCUGAAAGUGCAAUAUUAUCCCGUUGAUAAAGACACUUUUGGGGGAGAGUUUCAGCCUGCCUUUCAACUGGUCAAAACUUAAUCCAUUUAAGUUAUUAAGAACAUGGAAGAUGUAAUGAGCUCAGCCCUCUUGCUUAAGGGCAGGGAAUAGAUGUGUGUGAAUACAAAGCCAAAUGUGGAUAUGUUUUUCACUGUGUACAUGCAACCAAUUAACAUUCCCUUUUGGAUCACCCUUCCAUGGGUCUUUUCUUAAUUCAUUUUGGGGUUGUUUUUUCAAGCAAUUUUAUGUGUACAGAGAGAACUUGAAUUAAUGAAAGUAAAUAAUAAUCCAUCAUUACAUCUGUCACUCUCGCUCUCACCAUGAGGUCACGUUAAAUUGUUGAUACCUUUAAUAACCUAUUGCACAUACAAAAGUGACAUUUUUUGUUAUUCACUUAAGACCACUCCAUUUGUUUUUGCACCACCCUAUUUUCCAAAUACUCUGUUUAAAUGUCCAUAAUUUGAAUGUAUGUAUGCGAAACAACUUGACCUGGCAACCUUUGGGGUCUAAAAUGUUGAGAUUAAGUGGCAUUGAAAAGUCUGACAUGGAAUACAUAACCUAACUUGUGAUCUGUGUAAGAGGCAAUAUAGUGAGAAAUUGUCAGUUGUAACCCAUUCGGCUUAGGUUUUCAGCCCUCUAUCAAAAUAUUACAAGUCAUAUGAGCUUAGAAUUGGUUAAUUAACAACAUUUGGGAUCUAAGAUGUUAAGAAAAGUGGUAUUGAAGAGUCUGACAUGGAAUAUCAUGCCUAACCCUAACCUGUGAAAAAUGUAUGUACUACCACAAUAUCCGACCUACCCCUAAUUCAGUAGUGGUCUUCAGUGAGGUGCGCAGUUGCAUGUUCUGUCCUCCAUGACAUUCAUCUAAUUAGAUUAGAACAGAAUGGAUCAACAGUGAUUAAUAUCUCUGGUUUACAUCCCAAAAUAUAUUGCAUUCAUUGUUCUCACAGCCCUUUAUAUAAUGAGAAUAAGGACAGGUGUCACAUGAUAGGUAAACAUGUUUGGAGAAUUUGACAUAGUGGUUCCCAUCUUGACUUCUUUGACAAAUGCUUUACAUCAUGAGAAAAAUGCAGUUUAAAGCCAUUUUGACUGUGACCCUAUGAAUGAACCUGCUAUUCAACAUGUUUGGCUUGGAGUCUUGCAUCAGCAGUUAUCUGGCUGCUGUGAUGACAGUAAUACUGGAGGUCCAUGGUACCUCAGUGUCACGUCCUGACCAGUAAAGGGGUUAUUUGUUAUUAUAGUUUGGUCAGGACGUGGCAGGGGUGU
Non-coding RNA from Salmo salar (Atlantic salmon), 2855 nucleotides. Lineage: Eukaryota; Metazoa; Chordata; Actinopteri; Salmoniformes; Salmonidae. The record is from RefSeq and is a predicted model, not a curated record.